RNAcentral lists this ribosomal RNA (600 nucleotides) under uncultured archaeon. RNAcentral describes it as "bacterial SSU rRNA". It matches the Rfam family "Archaeal small subunit ribosomal RNA", at positions 82 to 680 of the family's 1478-position model. The record is from RNAcentral.
CAGAUAGCUCAGUAACACGUGGCCAAACUACCCUCUGGACGCGGAUAACCUCGGGAAACUGAGGCUAAUCCGUGAUACGAUUCUCAGCCUGGAACUGGCGAGAAUCCGAAACGUUCCGGCGCCAGAGGAUGUGGCUGCGGCCGAUUAGGUAGACGGUGGGGUAACGGCCCACCGUGCCGAUAAUCGGUACGGGUUGUGAGAGCAAGAGCCCGGAGACGGUAUCUGAGACAAGAUACCGGGCCCUACGGGGCGCAGCAGGCGCGAAACCUUUACACUGCACGACAGUGCGAUAAGGGGACUCCGAGUGCGAGGGCAUAUCGUCCUCGCUUUUCACUACCGUAAGGUGGUAGUAGAAUAAGUGCUGGGCAAGACCGGUGCCAGCCGCCGCGGUAAUACCGGCAGCACGAGUGAUGACCGCUCUUAUUGGGCCUAAAGCGUCCGUAGCUGGCCUUGCAAGUCCAUCGGGAAAUCCGCGCGCUCAACGCGCGGGCGUCCGGUGGAAACUGCAGGGCUUGGGACCGGAAGACCAGAGGGGUACGUCUGGGGUAGGAGUGAAAUCCCGUAAUCCUGGACGGACCACCGGUGGCGAAAGCGCCUCUG